RNAcentral lists this ribosomal RNA (229 nucleotides) under uncultured bacterium. RNAcentral describes it as "partial 16S ribosomal RNA". It matches the Rfam family "Bacterial small subunit ribosomal RNA", at positions 524 to 749 of the family's 1533-position model. The record is from RNAcentral.
GACAGAGGGUGCAAACGUUGUUCGGAAUUACUGGGCGUAAAGCGCGUGUAGGCGGCUAAGUAAGUCGGGCGUGAAAUCCCACGGCUCAACCGUGGAAGUGCACUCGAAACUGCAUAGCUAGAGUCCUGGAGAGGAAGGUGGGAAUGCUUGGUGUAGAGGUGAAAUUCGUAGAUAUCAAGCGGAACACCGGUGGCGAAGGCGGCCUUCUGGACAGUGACGUGGACGCUGA